CCUCCAACCAUUAUAGGGGUCCAAUAAUGCCCAAUCCGAAUACCUACAAAACACGAAAAUAGUUAGAGAGAAAAGUUGAGAGGAGAUCAAAGGAGCCAUCGCGAAAUCUCGUCGGACCACCACCUGAAUCCACCUUCAGUCGAGACCUAAACACAAGAACUCCCUGCUUGGAAGGACAGAUGGGCUCGCAAGGCCAACGCUCCUUCAAGAUCUGAUAGUUUGCGAGGAGAGAGGAAUUUUUCCGAUAGCCAUGUGUCGACCGGCAACUGGUGAAGCGCGGCUUGGCAAGGCGGGGACACGACUCAGGUGUCGACUGGAGCUACGCGUUGGAUGUCGGGUGGAGCAACACAGACACGUGUCGUCUGCAAACCCGCAACCGCAAACCGACCUAUAACCAUCAGCUCAAACCAACCCGCUGUCCUACUGAGUGAACCGAGUCACCUACCCAAAUGGCUACCAAAUCGGACCGCUGACCUGCGACUGCACAGAAUCAACCCGCGCGUGCCACCUGCAACUAGGACCUUCCCCAGCGUGUGAGGGUGUGUGUAAGGCCAUAUAAUGACACCAAAGAGACGCAGAUCCUAUAUUGGGCCUAGACUCAGAAAGGAAAAAAAAGAGUUGCAUAGGACACUGUUAGGUGGAACAAAUUGAACCUCAAGAGGAAGUUAGAGAUGUGUCCCCAAGCAAGUGAGAGAACUGUACCACGGGUUCCAAGAAUUGGAAUGGGCCAUAGGGGAGUGGUGAACCAAGACAAAUCUGACCCAGACUCUACUGCUCCCCUCCCAGAGGCAGUCACGCUCACAUGGGAUGUACUACCAACAUUCAUGUUAAUCUCAAUGGAAAAUCAGACUCUAAUGACCUAAAUGAUGCAGACACUGAUGGCUAAUCAGACAUCAGUGCAAGGGACUAGAGACUUAGGGACUAUGACGGUGGAAUCCCAUUACUUGAAAGCUUUCCAAAGAUAUAAACUAUCUUCCUUUUACGGUGGCAAGGUAGAUCCUAUUGUAGUAGAUGUUAAAUAAAAAGCUAUGGUUUUUUCUCUAUUUAGGUUAUUCGUUGAUUUUUUUUUUAAGGUAAGAGCCUAUUUUUAGGUGCCAUUUGAG
Cucurbita maxima (winter squash) is the source of this 1103-nucleotide long non-coding RNA. RefSeq lists it as uncharacterized. The record is from RefSeq and is a predicted model, not a curated record. The transcript is spliced from 3 exons. Lineage: Eukaryota; Viridiplantae; Streptophyta; Magnoliopsida; Cucurbitales; Cucurbitaceae.